This 804-nucleotide ribosomal RNA is filed under the name Gaurotes tuberculicollis. RNAcentral describes it as "partial 12S ribosomal RNA". Lineage: Eukaryota; Metazoa; Arthropoda; Insecta; Coleoptera; Cerambycidae. The record is from RNAcentral.
AAUAAUAUAAUUUAAUUUAUUUAGUUUUAAUUAAUAAUAAAUUGUUUAAUUCAAAUUUUUAAAUUAUUAAGUGAAAUUUUAAUUUAUAAAAAAAUUAAUUUUUGUUUAUGAAGUUAAGAAAUUUAAAUAAUAAACUAGGAUUAGAUACCCUAUUAUUUUAAAUGUGAUUAAAAAUUCUUGAUUAUUAAUAGUUAUGUUCUUUAAAAUUAAAAAUUUUGGCGGUUUUUUAGUCUAUUCAGAGGAAUCUGUCCUGUAAUUGAUAUUCCACGAUUAAAAUUACUUUUUUUAAUAAUUUACAUAUCGUCGUAGUUUGAAUAUUUUAAAAGAAUUUUAAUAUUCAAAAUUUUAUUUAGAAAAGAAAUCAGAUCAAGGUGUAGUUUAUAAAAAAGAAGAGAUGGAUUACAUUAAAUUUAUUUAAGGAUUAAUUUAUUAAAAAUUUUAUGAAUUUGGAUUUGGAAGUAAUUUUAAUAAUUUUAUUAAAAUGAUUUAAGCUCUAAAAUAUGUACAUAUUGCCCGUCGCUUUCACUUUAAAGUGAAAUAAGUCGUAACAAAGUAGAUUUACUGGAAAGUGAAUCUAGAAAGAUCAAAUUAGAGCUUGAUAAAAGUAUUUUAUUUACAUUAAAAAGUUAAUUGUGAAAUUCAAUUUAAUUUGAAUUUAAAAGAUUAUUUUAAUAUAAAUAAUUUUUUUAAUUUAAAAUAAGUAAAUUAUAUUUUAGUAUAAGUUUAGAAAAAAAUUUUUUUAUUAUAGUUAACUAGUAUUGUGAAAGAAUUCAAAUUUAUAAAUUAAAGAAAAAUUAAUUUUUU